Molecule: ribosomal RNA, 1023 nt
Filed under: uncultured Bacillus sp.
Lineage: Bacteria; Bacillati; Bacillota; Bacilli; Caryophanales; Bacillaceae
Description: bacterial SSU rRNA
Rfam family: Bacterial small subunit ribosomal RNA
Source: RNAcentral
UACAUGCAAGUCGAGCGGACAGAUGGGAGCUUGCUCCCUGAUGUUAGCGGCGGACGGGUGAGUAACACGUGGGUAACCUGCCUGUAAGACUGGGAUAACUCCGGGAAACCGGGGCUAAUACCGGAUGGUUGUCUGAACCGCAUGGUUCAGACAUAAAAGGUGGCUUCGGCUACCACUUACAGAUGGACCCGCGGCGCAUUAGCUAGUUGGUGAGGUAACGGCUCACCAAGGCGACGAUGCGUAGCCGACCUGAGAGGGUGAUCGGCCACACUGGGACUGAGACACGGCCCAGACUCCUACGGGAGGCAGCAGUAGGGAAUCUUCCGCAAUGGACGAAAGUCUGACGGAGCAACGCCGCGUGAGUGAUGAAGGUUUUCGGAUCGUAAAGCUCUGUUGUUAGGGAAGAACAAGUGCCGUUCAAAUAGGGCGGCACCUUGACGGUACCUAACCAGAAAGCCACGGCUAACUACGUGCCAGCAGCCGCGGUAAUACGUAGGUGGCAAGCGUUGUCCGGAAUUAUUGGGCGUAAAGGGCUCGCAGGCGGUUUCUUAAGUCUGAUGUGAAAGCCCCCGGCUCAACCGGGGAGGGUCAUUGGAAACUGGGGAACUUGAGUGCAGAAGAGGAGAGUGGAAUUCCACGUGUAGCGGUGAAAUGCGUAGAGAUGUGGAGGAACACCAGUGGCGAAGGCGACUCUCUGGUCUGUAACUGACGCUGAGGAGCGAAAGCGUGGGGAGCGAACAGGAUUAGAUACCCUGGUAGUCCACGCCGUAAACGAUGAGUGCUAAGUGUUAGGGGGUUUCCGCCCCUUAGUGCUGCAGCUAACGCAUUAAGCACUCCGCCUGGGGAGUACGGUCGCAAGACUGAAACUCAAAGGAAUUGACGGGGGCCCGCACAAGCGGUGAGCAUGUGGUUUAAUUCGAAGCAACGCGAGACCUUACCAGGUCUGACAUCCUCUGACAUCCUAGAGAUAGGACGUCCCCUUCGGGGGCAGAGUGACAGGUGGUGCAUGGUUGUCGUCAGCUC